Chrysemys picta bellii (western painted turtle) is the source of this 978-nucleotide non-coding RNA. NCBI's taxonomy places the organism in Eukaryota, Metazoa, Chordata, Testudines, Emydidae. The record is from RefSeq and is a predicted model, not a curated record.
AUUAAUGGUGAGGACUAAUCGAGGCCAUAGGGAGGCAGGUCUGGGGCUGUGGGAGCAGAAUGGGGUACAGGCUAAUUGGGAGAGAGGAUGCUCUGGGGGCUGAAAGGGAAACACAAAAUGGGGCAGGCACUGAAGUGGAUGGUAGUAGGCUGGGGAAUAGAGACAGAACCCCCGUUUGCUCUAGGACACAGGUUCAUGCCCCUAUUCUUGUGAAGAGAACUGCAAGCUGUUUAAUGAUGAUAAGUGAGGUUGGAAACUCAGAGGUCGUCAUCACAUGGAAUUCCCCUGAAACCCCAUCCUCAAAUGGGGACACAGAAGAGCCCACUCUUUGGAUCCCAGGAAUCCCCCCUUCUUGCUUCUCUGGACCCUUCUCUCUCUAGGCAGGCUGCCUUCACCUGUGCAAAUCUCUCUUCAAAGCAUUCCCAACUCAUGCUGGCUUUGGAGAGAAAAGGACUGGAACUGAGACCCACCCCCAACUGAUAAUGUAACAUGGACCUCUGGACCAUUUUGCAGAUUUCUUUAGAUUCUGCAGUCUCACAGGCAGCUUCACCCGGUUCGCCGACUGGCGGUUCAUUCACCAUGCGCGGCUGAAUUGCGUCCCGCUCAACAGUGCCAUCCGCCACGGGAACCGGGACAAACGCUGCAGGAAGUGCGGGUACGUCAACGAAACCCUGCCCCACGUCCUAUGCUGCUGCAAGCCCCAUGCCAGAGCCUGGCAGCUACGCCACAACGCCGUCCAGGACCGUCUAGUGAAGGCCAUCAACCCGCGUCUGGGAGAGAUCACCGUCAACCGCGCCGUCCCCAGCACCGACAGCCCGCUGCGCCCAGACAUCGUCGUCACGGAUAAGGUUGGAAAAAAGAUCAUCCUGGUCAACGUAACGAUUCCAUUCGAGAACAGGACCCCGGCUUUCCGCGAAGCCCGAGCCCGCAAGCUCGAAAAAUACGCCCCCCUGGCUGACACCCUGCGGACUAAGGGCU